RNAcentral lists this ribosomal RNA (504 nucleotides) under Branchinotogluma hessleri. RNAcentral describes it as "partial large subunit ribosomal RNA". It matches the Rfam family "Bacterial large subunit ribosomal RNA", at positions 1809 to 2608 of the family's 2925-position model. Lineage: Eukaryota; Metazoa; Annelida; Polychaeta; Phyllodocida; Polynoidae. The record is from RNAcentral.
AAAAACAUUGCCUUUAGAUCCUUUAUUAAAGGUUCAUCCUGCCCAGUGAUAAUUUAAACGGCCGCGGUACCCUAACCGUGCAAAGGUAGCAUAAUCAUUUGCCUUUUAAUUGUAGGCUAGUAUGAAUGGAUAAACGUAAUUUUUACUCUAUCAUCCUAAUUAACUAAAAUUUAGACUUUAGGUGAAGAUACCUAAAUUCAUUUGAAAGACAAGAAGACCCUAUAGAGUUUUAGUAAAAGUAUAAACCACUUAAAUCAAUACUUUGGUUGGGGCGACCUAGGAUCAUUAAAAACAUCCUACUUCAAAAUAGAAUAAUAAUUCUCUUUACUGAUCCUAUUAAUUAGAUUAACAGAAUAAACUACCUUAGGGAUAACAGGCUUAUCUUCCUAAAGAGUCCAAAUCAACAGGAAGGUCUGGCACCUCGAUGUUGGCUUAGAGUAACCCACUAAUGCAAACGUUAGUUUAGGUUGGUUUGUUCAACCAUUAAAUCUCUACGUGAUCUGA